CGCCCAAACUCCGGUUGAUCCUGCCGGACCCCACUGCUAUCGGGGUGAGACUAAGCCAUGCGAGUCGAACGCCCCAAGCUAUGGUGGGGCGUGGCGUACGGCUCAGUAAAACAUGGUCAACCUACCUUCAGGACGGGGAUAACCUCGGGAAACUGAGGCUAAUCCCCGAUAGGUGAGAGAACCUGGAAUUGGUCUCUCACCGAAAGGGUGUUGGAGCCAUGCUCUCCAACACCGCCUGAAGAUGGGACCAUGUCCGAUCAGGUUGUUGGCGGGGUAACGGCUCGCCAAGCCUAUAACCGGUACGGGCCGUGAGAGCGGGAGCCCGGAGAUGGACCCUGAGACAAGGGUCCAGGCCCUACGCGGCGCAGCAGGCGCGAAACCUCCGCAAUGCGGGAAACCGCGACGGGGUCACCCCGAGUGCCACCCGCUGAGGGUGGCUUUUACCCGGUCUAACCAGCCGGGUGAAUAAGGGGAGGGCAAGCCUGGUGUCAGCCGCCGCGGUAAUACCAGCUCCCCGAGUGGUGGGGACGAUUAUUGGGCCUAAAG
Molecule: ribosomal RNA, 546 nt
Filed under: Candidatus Bathyarchaeota archaeon
Lineage: Archaea; Thermoproteati; Candidatus Bathyarchaeota
Description: bacterial SSU rRNA
Rfam family: Archaeal small subunit ribosomal RNA
Source: RNAcentral